UACAGAGGGUGCUAGCGUUGUUCGGAAUCAUUGGGCGUAAAGGGCGUGUAGGCGGUUUGUUAAGUCAUGUGUGAAAUCCCUUGGCUCAACCGGGGAAGGACGCAUGAAACUGGCAAGCUAGAGUACCAAAGAGGGGGGUGGAAUUCCCGGUGUAGCGGUGAAAUGCGUAGAUAUCUGGAGGAAUACCGGUGGCGAAGGCGGCAUCCUGGACCGGCAUUGACGCUGAGGAGCGAAAGCCAGGGGAGCAAACGGG
RNAcentral lists this ribosomal RNA (253 nucleotides) under uncultured bacterium. RNAcentral's name for it is "partial 16S ribosomal RNA". It matches the Rfam family "Bacterial small subunit ribosomal RNA", at positions 524 to 776 of the family's 1533-position model. The record is from RNAcentral.